RNAcentral lists this unclassified non-coding RNA (258 nucleotides) under Hevea brasiliensis (rubber tree). The record is from RNAcentral. Lineage: Eukaryota; Viridiplantae; Streptophyta; Magnoliopsida; Malpighiales; Euphorbiaceae.
AUCCAAGAAGGUGAACAGUAUUUUUACAAACUAAUAGGGUAUACAAAUAUAGAGUCUGACUAUAGAAAGUGGCAUUUAAUAAUUCAUGGGAUAUCAUAUUUUGCUAUUAUGGUUCAAAUUAGAUGUAGAGCAAAUUUAUUGGAUUGCCUUCCAUGAGAUCCCCAUCUUUUUUUACUCUGUAUGUCAUUGGAGGUUAUUGUUAUAAAGCAGGAUAAACCUUAUCAAUCUUUGUCUUCUGCAGUUUGAUGGUUUUAUUGA